CCCUUAGAUGUCCGGGGCCGCACGCGCGCUACACUGAAGGAAUCAGCGUGGCUUUCUCCCUGACCCGAAAGGGUUGGGAAACCCGUUGAAUCUCCUUCGUGAUAGGGAUUGGGGCUUGAAAUUGUUCCCCAUGAACGAGGAAUUCCCAGUAAGCGCGAGUCAUAAGCUCACGUUGAUUACGUCCCUGCCCUUUGUACACACCGCCCGUCGCUACUACCGAUUGAACGGUUUAGUGAGGGCCUCGGAUUGGUCUCGGCCCGCUCUUUACCGGGCGGCGCCGUUGGUCGAGAAGACGCUCGAACUUGAUCGUUUAGAGGAAGUAAAAGUCGUAACA
Molecule: ribosomal RNA, 334 nt
Filed under: uncultured eukaryote
Lineage: Eukaryota
Description: partial 18S ribosomal RNA
Rfam family: Eukaryotic small subunit ribosomal RNA
Source: RNAcentral